RNAcentral lists this ribosomal RNA (444 nucleotides) under uncultured bacterium. RNAcentral's name for it is "bacterial SSU rRNA". It matches the Rfam family "Bacterial small subunit ribosomal RNA", at positions 43 to 486 of the family's 1533-position model. The record is from RNAcentral.
CGGGCCUAACACAUGCAAGUCGAACGGGCUAGCAAUAGUCAGUGGCGCACGGGUGCGUAACACGUGGGUAAUCAACCCUUCAGCUCGGGAUAACGCCUUGGAAAGGGGCGCUAAUACCGGAUACGACGCGAGGAGCGUUCGGCUGCUUGGCGGGAAAGAUUCGCAAGGAUCUCUGAAGGACGAGCCUGCGGCCCAUCAGCUAGUUGGUGAGGUAAGAGCUCACCAAGGCGAAGACGGGUAGCUGGUCUGAGAGGAUGAUCAGCCACACUGGAACUGAGACACGGUCCAGACUCCUACGGGAGGCAGCAGUGGGGAAUAUUGCGCAAUGGGCGAAAGCCUGACGCAGCCACGCCGCGUGAGCGAUGAAGGCCUUCGGGUCGUAAAGCUCUGUGGGGAGAGAAGAAUAAAGCCUGUGAAGAAUGGGCCUUGACGGUAUCUCCUUAG